CGUGAUUUGUUCACCGUGUAUAACGUUUUUGCAAGGCAAGUAAAGUGUAUAGUUACCACAACGAUUCGUCAACAGUUUGACGGAUGGUAUACCAGACUGGACAGCGAACGGCAGAUGCGACCGUUACCAUUUGUUCAAAGUUGUUCGUGGAGGACGAAAUACGAGCGAAACGUUUUAAUUAAUUUAUAUACGAAAAAGCUUCUAAGGACGAUGAAAAAAUAAAUG
Cinara cedri is the source of this 225-nucleotide non-coding RNA. Lineage: Eukaryota; Metazoa; Arthropoda; Insecta; Hemiptera; Aphididae. The record is from the annotation of a GenBank genome assembly.